UGGGGAAUAUUGCACAAUGGGCGCAAGCCUGAUGCAGCCAUGCCGCGUGUAUGAAGAAGGCCUUCGGGUUGUAAAGUACUUUCAGCAGUGAGGAAGGUGUUGAUGUUAAUAGCAUCAUCAUUUGACGUUAGCUGCAGAAGAAGCACCGGCUAACUCCGUGCCAGCAGCCGCGGUAAUACGGAGGGUGCGAGCGUUAAUCGGAAUUACUGGGCGUAAAGCGCAUGCAGGUGGUUUGUUAAGUCAGAUGUGAAAGCCCGGGGCUCAACCUCGGAACUGCAUUUGAAACUGGCAGACUAGAGUACUGUAGAGGGGGGUAGAAUUUCAGGUGUAGCGGUGAAAUGCGUAGAGAUCUGAAGGAAUACCGGUGGCGAAGGCGGCCCCCUGGACAGAUACUGACACUCAGAUGCGAAAGCGUGGGGAGCAAACAGGAUUAGAUACCCCCGUAGUCC
Molecule: ribosomal RNA, 449 nt
Filed under: uncultured prokaryote
Description: bacterial SSU rRNA
Rfam family: Bacterial small subunit ribosomal RNA
Source: RNAcentral